Long non-coding RNA from Hipposideros armiger (great roundleaf bat), 8983 nucleotides. RefSeq lists it as uncharacterized. The record is from RefSeq and is a predicted model, not a curated record. NCBI's taxonomy places the organism in Eukaryota, Metazoa, Chordata, Mammalia, Chiroptera, Hipposideridae. The transcript has 3 exons.
CCCCAGGAAGAAGCGAGCAGAAGGUGGGGGGUGCGAGGGUGCCGACGGCCGAGGCGCGUGGGGGCGGCACCUCGCCAAGUGUCAAGUCGGGGAGUCAGGGCCCUGGGCUUCGCCCCCCGAAGGCGGCCGGAGCCGCGGACUCGUACUGGGCGGGGAACGGCCCCCGGGCGCUGGCUCGCUGGCCUCGCGGCUGGUGAAGGACGGGGAGAGGCCGGCUCGCUGCCCCGGGGGUCUGGCCCUGGCUCGGCCCCCUCGGAGCCUGAUGCUCUCCGCCAGCGUCCCGUCCCUGGACAGCCCUCGUUCACGCCUUCAGGACAGGCGCCCAGGGAGGCUCAGUGACCCACAAGUCCUGCCGCUGGCGGAGCCGGGACACACGGCGAGGGGUUCAGUCAGGACCUGAAGUCGGUGUCCCUGACGGUCAUGGACCUGCCUCACUCCGCUUCACGUAGACGUGGACGCAGAGGAAAGGGAAGCGUCUUCCUCACCGACCUUUGUGGUUCAGCCUCCUUUUGGCUGCGGACUGGCUUCCUUUGUCUUUGUUGCUCGCAGUGUUUUAAGGUAGAUCCUUGUGUAGGUAGUUUCCGGGAUUCUUUCGGUUGCAAGUGACAGAAAGUCAGCUCACACCGGCCAUAGCAACGAGGGCACUUCCCUUUCCUCUGGGGAAGCCCGGUGCUUGCACGCUUCCACCGAGCAGCCUCGGGACUCAUGCCCAUUGAGCUGCGCGGGUUGUGGGCCAAGGUGGCGCUGGCUGGGUGGAGAGGAAGACCUGCUGCCCGCCCAGAGGAAGUCGAGUGGCUGGGACGUGACAGGUGGGGACUGGCAGGCACAAGCAGGGGUCUUGUCGCUCUGGGAGGGGGUCAGCCUGGGAAGUGUUCUGAGCUGUCUGCUCCCAUCGGUCACCAGACAGUAGGAGGAGAGGGGCCUCUCCCGAAGCUCCCGUGGUCUCCAGCACCACUCCAUUCUCCAGAAGGUCCUGCUCCUGACACCUCACGUUUGGUAGUGGCUGAGCUAGGAGACCCACUCUGAGCCCGGCCUGCCUUCCAGGUGGGCUAGUGGCUCAGCAGCCUUGUCCCGGGCCUGCUCUCCCCACCUGGCAGCUGGACAGGAGGUGCGCAGCUGGGAGGGAAGCCAUCAGUCAGAAGAGCAUUCACAGAGCACCUGCCGCGAGUGCAAAUGAAGGAGCAUCGCACCUUGAAGCACGGACGCGACGGGGCAGACGCAGACGCAGAGCAAGGUGUGGGUGGGGUAGUCCUACCCACCGAGGCAUGGAGAACCAAGCUGAGAAAGCCACCGCCUUGCCUGAGGCUUCCGUGAGCCACCAGCCUCCAGAGAGGUCUCCAGCACGGGUGUGGCCACCCCUUCAGCUGAAGGCGGAGGUCUGAGUCCCGGGCCAGGAGACCACCAGUGUCCUAUGAGGCCUUUUCUAAUUUUGUGGAAGCCCCCGCAAAUGGCGGCGGUGUCUGGGGUUAGGGCCGAGUGCCAAGGGUAAGGACCUAGGGCCUAAGCAGGGGACAGGGCCUGGCGGUGGGCUGGGUGAGAGGUCAGCCCAGGGCCAGCUCCCAGGAGUCAGGAGCGCAUGCUUGUCCGGGCGCCUUUGUGUGUUGGAGGCACUCAGAGUCCUUUACAAAACCCACGUCGUUCUUCUCGCCUCAACUCAGAGUGUGUUGGGGGGUGAUGGGGUCUAAUGACUGACGUGCCUGGAGGUUGGCAGUGGUGCAGCUGGGAGAUCGCUGGCCAGCCCUGGGGUUUGGCCUGCCCCCCUCCAAGACCAGCCACAGGAGCCACUGCUACGAUGAGAAGCGUUGCUCUUCCCACCUUGUCUGCAAAGGAGCAGCAAGGGAGCCCGCGCUGGCAGAGAGGGUCCCCCCAGGCCGUGGGUCCUCACUCCAGACCAGGGUGCUCUUCUUCCUGUGCAGUGGGAGUGGGGAGCGGGCUUCUGAAAACGAGCAGCUUAUCAACAGCCCCUGAGAACACAGGUGGGCUGCAGCCCUCAGGCCACUGGUUUCCCCUGUCACUUCUGACUGCCAGUCCUCACCUGGGCCAUCUGUGCAGCAGGGAGGUGUGUAGCCAUGGUGAUCUUUAGCACCCCAGCUCUGAACCAGAGGGUCCCCCUGCCCCGUGCACUGGCUCGGGCCCUCUCGCACGCAGGGUGCUGAGCUGGGGUCUGAGGCAGGGUGCUCCCAAGAGUGACCCCGGGUCCACCACACCCCCGGGGGGCAGCCCAGGAGGAAAGGCUGGCAGCAUGAGGACAGAAGUGCAGCUCUUUGUCAGCUUAUUUUUAGCCGUGUUAUGUAAGUGGCUUCAUCUCAACGUCACAUAGGGAGGGGGUCUCAGAUUUAAUUACAGGAUGACAGUCUUUGCUUUUCAAGCAGGCUGUCCCUGGCAAGGCAGGCCCAAGGAUUUGGGAAUCUUCGCAAAACAGAAGGAGCCCUUUCUGAGAUGACCGCCCAGCAAAAUUGAACGGUUUUCACCUCCGCGUCUCUCUCUGACCAGCCUAACCCGGUUUGGCUGAGCUUGGCCUAAGGGGGUGGCGAUUUUGUCUCAUCACAGGGAAAUUUUGUGCCUGUCAGGGGAGGCAUUUCUCUCCCCCCACACCUUCCCCUGGCGCCUCCUGUCUGAGAGAAGGAACCACCCAAUCAGAACUCCUCCCUUUCUUCUUCCUGGAUUGAAGUGCUUGUCAUGGGUAACCAGAAAGUUCCAGCGCGGGAGCGACGGGGGGCCGGGAGCCCUGUGGGGACAGGCACAGGCAGCAUGGCUUUGUCUUGCCCAGCCCCUCAGCCUCACUGCUUCCUCCCUGUAUGUCAGGUGCUCUGGGCGACAGGGCUGGGCCAGGGUCACUGGGCAAAACUGGCCAAAUUGUGUCCAGAGCACUGUUUCCGGGCUCCUGGCCAGGCCCGCAUUCUUCACAGCAGUGUUAUCAGCAAGAAGGUGCAGAGGCGCCUGGGCCGCAGCUCGCAGGCCCGGGAGUCCUGCUUCCUGUGGCAGGAAGGUCACCUCGGCGGCCUCCAGCACACUGUGGCUUUGUCCACCCUAAAAGGCAGAGCCGUCUUUCCUGCCACGGGGUGAGGCGUGACGUCCGCCUGCUGGGUCUGCUGGAGAAGGAGCAGGCGCAGACGCAAUGGGGACUCGUUACCGGGAGCCAGGCACUCGGAGGCCGGCAGCACCCGUGGCUCCCCUGGGCUUGGGCUGGUUUCUCAGCCUCUCUGGGUCCCACCUGUAAGAAGAGGUAAGCAGAUACCUGCCUUGUGGGCAGGAGUCCAAGUGUAAACAGAGCAGGAAAAGCACCCAGAACUGUACCUGGCACGCAGAGGGGAGCCUUCAACGUGUUCUGCAGGCCAUCGCCGCCAGUGACUAGAGGGGACGUCUCCACAGAAUGCCCAGGUGCUACAUAGAAAGGCACGUGGAAGCUGUCCUUUACAAGUGGGGUGCGCAGGAAGACCCCUCCCUUCAGAGAGCACUGGAUGGCAGGGGACGCUGACAAGCACACGUCUGCCAGGUGAGCCAGGUCACAUCAACAGGUCACAACAGAGUCGUGGCGACCACGCACGCGUGGCCUUGGUGGAAAGAGAAGGGUCUGUCACCCACCCCUGUGGCCUUCCUCCUAGAGCGCACCACCCCAAUCUAACCAUGAGAGAAACGACAAAUUCCAGCAGAGGGACAGUCCACAGAACCCCGCCCAGCGCUCCUCAGAACUGCCAAGGUCACUCCAACAAGGAGCGACUGAGCCUGCGGAGACGUGAGGACUGAAUGUCACAUGGGAUCCUGGAGCGCAAAAGGGAGGAUAGGUAAAAACUAAGGAAACCGCGAAUUAAGUGUGGAGUUCAGUUAGCAAUAAAGUGUCAAUAAUGGCUCAUGAAUUGUAACAAAUGCCCACAGAAGAUGGUUACAAUAGGGGGAACUGGCCGAGGGUAUGUUUGCAACUAUUAUGUACGUUUAAAACUGUCUUAAAGUUUAUUAAAAGCGGGGCGCUAGGACUUGGCAGAGCCUGUCUAUUUGACCUGCAGGUCUGAAGGAGACGGCCUGUCCUCAUCCCACAUGGCGGGUCCCCGUGGGGUCAGCAGGUGGAGCAGUUGUCCCCACAGAGAACCCAGGGCCUGCUCUGACCACGUUGCAGCGUGGCUGCCACGCAGGAGGCUGGUGUGUGGGUCCCCUAGUCUGUGCAGUGGCUGCACUGCCCGUGACACAGUGAGGUCCUGAGGGGCCACCUGCCAGCAGCCCUCCCGCCAGCGCAGUACGGGCUCCCACCCUCCUGCCUCCCUGGUCUUUUACUUAGAUUUGCCCUUUCCCCAAAACCUGCUCACCCUUGAACUGAACAUGGUUCAAGGGCUUUCUUCUCUGUAACCAGAGAGCUGGCCAUCAGAGAAGAGGAUUCACGCCUGUGCCUCCAGGGACCGGUGAUGGCACCCGGUCCGCCCUGGGAGCGAGGCUGGGCGGGAGCACGGCUGUGUGUCCGUGUGGGCGUGUGCGUGGGCCCCUGCCUGGGAAGAAGAGAGUCGGAUCUGUGAGGCCGUGGGCGUCGGUGGGCGCCGAGCGGAACUUGCUAAGGCUCUGGGAAGGUGGAGGAGUGGGGCAUGGCUUGGCCUUGGCCUCGCACGGGCCCCUCCUGGCCCUUGGUUGCGGUGGUCCAGUCUCAACCCUCUCAGCGAAGCGGCCCAGAAAGUUCCCAGCUUGCUUGGCCUCCCCAGAGCGUCUCUACUGGCCAGGCCAGGAUGGGCGGCGGGGGCUUCCUAGGAGGAUGGGGGGCAGGGGAGGUGCUGGCCUGUGGCCUGGCUGGCUGGCUGGUGGGGAGCAGUUCCCCAGCAACCGGCCCCUUACAUAAUCCUCAUCCCGUGACUGCGGGUGCCUGUGGGAGGCAGCGUGGGGGUGAGCAGAGGGGCGCAAACGAGUCUUGGAGUUUCACUGGGUGUUUCUCCCCUUGUUAUAUUUCAGCAUCAUCCUGCGUCUGCCAGCUCAGUCACCCACUUGCUUAUUAGAAUACAUUCACUGACAAUGCUGAUUUAAAUAACUCCUGCAGGUGAUGAGGCCCCUGGGGAGCCCUCUGUCCCUGGGCCUCCUGCCCCAGCCCAGGUGAGGCAGGGAGGACCAGAUGAGGAAGGACCCUAUGGGGAGCUGGCUGCUCUGCCUGGAGUCCAGAGCUGGGUGGGGUGGGCUGGGGAGGAGGCGAAGGCAGGCAGGGAACACAGGCAGCAGGGGACCCCCCCCUCCCCGAUACAUGCAAACCCAGCUGGCUGUAGGACCCUCCAGUGAGGGGCGAGGCGGGGAAUGCAGGUGAAGGAUGCGCGUGGACCGCCUUUUAGGUAAGGAGGCCAGCACCUCGUCUGAGCGAGUGCAGCGGCCAGCGCUGUGUGCCCGGCCUGGCUGCCCCAGGCACACUGGGGCUUGGGUGGUCACUUGGCUUUCCCAGGAAAGAUGAGGAAAAAGAACAGGCUUCACACAAAACAGAGUUACUCUUCAUUUACCCCUGAAAUGUCGUCUUUGUUUUCUUAUCUCUGCCUCUUAAAUGACUUAAAUUGCCUUGAAAGUGAUCUGAAAGGUAUUUUGGAGUUGAGAGGAGGAAAUCUGUUCUCUGGAAUCUGAAAUUGGAGGACACGCUGGGAAACAAGCCCUGCAGGUGUCCCCGUGGGGUCCGUCUGAGAGGACACGCACACCCAGACCCAAACCUGCCGUCACCGGCUCCUGACGCUGCUGCAGUCAGACUCCAGACGCCGCCUGCUCCGUGCUCGCAGAUGGCGUCCUGGCCCAGGGCGGCUGCUGCUAAUUUCAGCUGCCGGAGGCUCCACGCUCUCUCUUUUUUAAAUUCCAUGUUUAUUUAAAGCCAGAUUUUCAAAUGUCGUCUUCAGCCCUGAAAUCUGACUUUUUCUUGCUGCAGAUCCUAAAGCCCCACUUGGAACCCCAUAGUCCCCAAAGGGGGAAGUUGAGGCGGACUUGGGUUGGAUCCAGGGCUUACCUUGCCAGUGGGACGAGAGAAGCGGUGUGAGGGUCUCAGGUCCCCCCCACGCCAGUCGCUGCACAUGAGAAGGGGUGUUUUGGGUCGCCUGCCCUGUCGUCACCCUGUCUCAGGUGGGUCCUAAGGCAGCAGGGCCUCUCCUGGCCCAGGUGUGUCCCCUGGAGGCGGGUCAGGGCCCAGGUCAGCAGUUCCCACCAGGUGAGGCGGCCUCAGGUGGCCUGUGCUGCGCCGGCUUCUCCCCCAUCUCCGCUCCUCCUGGGACUCAGGUCUCCUCAUUUUUUCUCGUGUGUUUGGGAACCGGGGACAUCCUGAGGGCUGUCCGUGUGCCGGGUUAACACAGCAUGAGGCUGCUGUAAGCAUCCACACCACCGAGUGGGGGGUGGGCGCUCACAAAACGUGAGGUCCCGGCCCCUUUGAGUAGCACUUAGCUAUCCUCAUCCCCUUUGCAGCUCACCCCAGAAUGUGCUAGAAUAACUGGUGAAACUGGACAGGGAGAAGGUGAAACAGGCUGAGGGGCCAGGCUGGGCUCUGGAGACAGAGUGUGUCAGGAGGACACCUGUGGACAGACUGUAUUUGGCUGGGAGCUCUUGGAGCAAAUGUUGGAAGAAACAGACAUCUUGGUAGAGGUUCGUGGAAAACUUUGGCUGUUCCCUCGCUGCCCGAGUGAAAAGAGAAUUCCUCUCAGCGGGAGGUACAAGUGUUCUGAACAGGUGGGGGUGAUAUUGCACCCCAGUCUGGGGGUGACAUCCCACCCCAGUCCAAGCGGGCUCGCUCCACGUGAGCCCUUGCAGUGUUACCCGGCUGCCCCAGGAUGAGGCCCCUGGAGUCUGUGCUAAUUGUCAGCCAGAUUUGGAGGGUUUCUCUUUGUGCAGCCUCAGGCCUGGCUCCAGAGCCCCUGGGGCUGGCAGUGUCGGAGUCGGCUGUAAUUUUCCUCCAUUCUUUGGCUCGCAAAGUCCCCGCUGGGAAAACCCCAGUGGCCUUGAUUCCACAUCAGGAAAGUAAAAGCUGAGACUCCUCCAGCCAGGACGACUCGAGCUGGUGAUUCACAAGCGGCCUCGGAUGGGUCAGGUGUGAUUGGAGCCGGAACAGUAGGACUGGACAGGCCCCCGCCCUCAGACUCCCAUCCGGUGUCUGCCGCCGACCUCAUGUGAGUGAGGUACAGAGGGCUGAGGACGCAGGUGCACUGGGGUUUAGAAUAAGUUUUGUCCCGCCAGACAAGUCACCCUGGCAUCUCAGCCCCUGGUCUGCAGAGAGGGGCGGGUGGCAGCCUGGGCAGGUGGGCAGGGGAUGCACAUGGGGCCUUUGCUGCCACCUGGUGGACAGUUCAGAAAGGUGAUGUGGAUGUGGCAGGCACUGAGGGAGGGGCCCUGUUCGGGUCAGAGUGCCACCGUGGAUAUGCUGCAGGACUGGAGGAGGUGGUGACGGGGGCAGCCCAGGCUCGACUGGCCUCCCGGGGCUUGCCCCCGGAUUAGGCAGGUGGCAGGUGGAUGGAAUGGCACCGGGGCUGUGGGGCUAGGGCUCUCCUAAGACAAGCGAGACCCUGGGAAAGCCCAGCGAGGGAGAAAAGGUGACUCAUGACAGCGGUCUGUCCUCAGCACGGUGCAGACACUGCCAGGACCUGCAGAGGGGGUGUCUGAGGGACGCGCCAUCUCCCAGGCAACUCAGGCUCUACAAGGAAAACUGUCGCUGUGAUACGUGUUUUCAAAGGGCCCUAUGACAUCUUUUUUAAAAACUGAGCUAAAAUUCACAUAACAUAAAAUUAACCUUUUUCAAGUAUAUAAUUCAGUCCACUUCGCAGCAUUUGGCGCAUCACAGGGCUGUGCAACCACCACCUCUAGUUCUAAACCAUGUCCAUCACCCCGAAAGGAAGCCCCGUCCCCAGUAGCAGCCUUCCCCAGCCCCUGGCAGCCAGCAGUCUGCUUCCUGUCUCUGUGGAUUUGCCCAUCGGGACAUUUCACAGAAAUGGAAUCACGAUGUGUGAACUGUGGGUCUGGCUUCUGUCACGCGGCGUAGCGUCUUUGAGGUUCAGCCAUGCUGUGACAUGUAUCAGGACCCGUUCCCUUUAUGGCUGAGGACAGACCACAGCGCGUUUAUCCGUCUGUCAGAGGUGGACGCCGGGCACGCCUGCCCUUUGGUGACUGGCUGGUGCUCUAGGAGCACCCAUGUUCCAGCUUUUGUUUGGACACCUGUUUGCAGUUCCUUUGGAUCUAUACCUACGAGUGCAAUUGCUGGGUCAGAUGGUCAUUUCAUGUUUAGCUUUUUGAGAAACUGCCGAACUGGUUUUUAUAGCGACUGUAUCAUUCACACCCCAGCAAGGCACAAGGACUUCCCCACAUCCUCACCAGCAGUUGUGUAUGUGUGUGUUCACUCUAGCCAUCAGUGGGUGUGAAGUGGUUUCUCAUUGUGGUUUUUUCAAUUCCAGCUGACAUACAAGAUCACAUUAGUUUCAUGUGUACGCCACAGUGAGUAGACCUUUAUGUAUCUUACGAAGAAACCACCCCGUUAAGUCUAGUCCGCAUUUAACAGUGUUAUUGACUAUGUUCCCUAUGCUGUACUUCACAUCCCCGUGACCAUUUUGAUAACUGGUAAUUUGUGCUUCUCGACCCCUUUCACCUUCCUCACCCCCAGCCCCUCCCACGUGGCAGGGCCCCACAGCCCUUGCCAGUUUGUUCUCUGGAUCUAGUAGGAGUUAGUUGCAGCAUUUUUCACAACGGCCACAGUAGGGCAACCUAGGUGUCCAUCGAUAGACGAAUGGAUACAGAAGUGGCACACAUACACCAUGGAAUAUAUCACUCGGCCAUAGAAAGGAGGGAAAUCGUGCUUUUUGCGACAACAUGGAUGAGCCUAGCGGGUGCUGUGCUGAGUGGAGUAAGUCAGGCAGAGACAACUACACCACGCGAUCUCACUUAUGCGUGGAGUCAGCCCCUCACUGUGGCUUUGGUUGCAUUCCCUGGUGUCCGCUGGCACUGAGUAUCUUUCCACACAUGGCAUCUUUCUCUAGAGCAGUGGUUCUCGACCUGUGGGUCGCGACCCCUU